GAAGUAAAAGUCGUAACAAGGUUUCCGUAGGUGAACCUGCGGAAGGAUCAUUCAUAAUAAGUGUUUUACUGCACUUUUUAAAAAUCAGUAUUCACCUUGUGUGCAAUGUUUGCUGACGAGUUCGCGUUUUUGCGCGUUCUUGGCAGUAUAAUACCAACCCUUUAUUGAAAUUUUUUGUCUGAAAUUUUUUGAAUACAUAAUUCGAAAUACAACUUUUAACAACGGAUCUCUUGGCUCUCGCAUCGAUGAAGAACGCAGCGAAAUGCGAUACGUAAUGUGAAUUGCAGAAUUCAGUGAAUCAUCGAAUCUUUGAACGCACAUUGCACUCUCUGGUAUUCCGGAGAGUAUGCUUGUUUGAGUAUCUGUAAACAUCUCAAAUCUCUACUUUAUUGUAAAGAAUUGGACUUGAGCAAUCCCAACUCCUUCGUCAGAAAGAGAAGGGUUGCUUGAAAUGCAGGUGCAGCUGGACAUUCUUCUGAGCUAAAAGCAUAUUUAUUUAGUCCCGUCAAACGGAUUAUUAUUCUUGCUUCAGCUUAUAUAAAGGUUGAAUGACUACCAAGGCUGAUUGCAGGUAAACUCGUUCCGUAAAAAAGAACUUGUAAACUCGAUCUCAAAUCAAGUAAGACUACCCGCUGAACUUAAGC
RNAcentral lists this ribosomal RNA (644 nucleotides) under Mortierella macrocystis. RNAcentral's name for it is "eukaryotic LSU rRNA". The stretch from base 211 to 364 matches the Rfam family "5.8S ribosomal RNA". Lineage: Eukaryota; Fungi; Mortierellomycota; Mortierellomycetes; Mortierellales; Mortierellaceae. The record is from RNAcentral.